This 497-nucleotide ribosomal RNA is filed under the name uncultured bacterium. RNAcentral's name for it is "partial 16S ribosomal RNA". It matches the Rfam family "Bacterial small subunit ribosomal RNA", at positions 28 to 507 of the family's 1533-position model. The record is from RNAcentral.
GAUGAACGCUGGCGGCGUGCCUAAUACAUGCAAGUCGAGCGAACGGACGAGAAGCUUGCUUCUCUGAUGUUAGCGGCGGACGGGUGAGUAACACGUGGAUAACCUACCUAUAAGACUGGGAUAACUUCGGGAAACCGGAGCUAAUACCGGAUAAUAUUUUGAACCGCAUGGUUCAAAAGUGAAAGACGGUCUUGCUGUCACUUAUAGAUGGAUCCGCGCUGCAUUAGCUAGUUGGUAAGGUAACGGCUUACCAAGGCAACGAUGCAUAGCCGACCUGAGAGGGUGAUCGGCCACACUGGAACUGAGACACGGUCCAGCCUCCUACGGGAGGCAGCAGUAGGGAAUCUUCCGCAAUGGGCGAAAGCCUGACGGAGCAACGCCGCGUGAGUGAUGAAGGUCUUCGGAUCGUAAAACUCUGUUAUUAGGGAAGAACAUAUGUGUAAGUAACUGUGCACAUCUUGAUGGUACCUAAUCAGAAAGCCACGGCUAACUACGUG